This 253-nucleotide ribosomal RNA is filed under the name uncultured bacterium. Its description in RNAcentral is "partial 16S ribosomal RNA". It matches the Rfam family "Bacterial small subunit ribosomal RNA", at positions 524 to 776 of the family's 1533-position model. The record is from RNAcentral.
UACGUAGGGUGCGAGCGUUGUUCGGAAUUACUGGGCGUAAAGGGCGCGUAGGCGGCCUGUUAAGUCGAACGUGAAAUCCCCGGGCUCAACCCGGGAACUGCGUCCGAUACUGGCAGGCUUGAAUGCGGGAGAGGGAUGUGGAAUUCCAGGUGUAGCGGUGAAAUGCGUAGAUAUCUGGAGGAACACCGGUGGCGAAGGCGGCAUCCUGGACCAGUAUUGACGCUGAGGCGCGAAAGCCAGGGGAGCAAACGGG